GGAAACUUCAGGAACAAGAAAACCUGUGCCUUGUCCAUCCCUAUACUGCUUCUACUUCCAGAAGUCCAAUAGGAUGCCAUGAGAGACCAGGAGAUAAUGAAGAGAGAACCUAGAAGAACGCAGGGGCCUGCAAAGCUGAGUCGGCUGGAAGAGCAGAUGAGAAGAUGGAGCCUGGUGUGGUGUCACACACCUGUAAUCCCAGCACUCAGGAGGACUGCUAUGAGGCCAGUCUGAACUACACGGCGAGAUCCUGUCUCAAAAAACAAACAAAAAAAAAGAAGAAGAAGAGGCAAUGGAACUUAGAGAGCUGACCGCCUUUUCCCACAACUGGCCAUGUUCCUUAACUCAAAAGCCAGACAGUGUGAAUAGGGGCCUCCUGAGAAGCCAACCUAGAGGUGGGCAACUGCUCUCCCUUCACCAUGGCCUGCUGAGAAAGCUGGAAGGACACAGGACCCACUCACUGAGUAACAACAUCCUGGAGGGUUCACCUUGAAAGCACCAAGUUGCCCUUAAGCCAAAGCUUCCUCCAGAAAACAUAAAUGCUGCUAGAAGCUCCUAAAGUAAGUGCCCCACGUGGGACAAUAAAU
Molecule: long non-coding RNA, 587 nt
Filed under: Heterocephalus glaber (naked mole-rat)
Lineage: Eukaryota; Metazoa; Chordata; Mammalia; Rodentia; Bathyergidae
Description: lncRNA (ENSHGLG00000038696.1)
Source: RNAcentral